RNAcentral lists this ribosomal RNA (468 nucleotides) under uncultured bacterium. RNAcentral describes it as "partial 16S ribosomal RNA". It matches the Rfam family "Bacterial small subunit ribosomal RNA", at positions 28 to 507 of the family's 1533-position model. The record is from RNAcentral.
GACGAACGCUGGCGGCGUGCUUAACACAUGCAAGUCGAACGGAAAGACCCUGCUUUUGUGGGGUGCUCGAGUGGCGAACGGGUGAGUAACACGUGAGUAACCUGCCCUUGACUUUGGGAUAACUUCAGGAAACUGGGGCUAAUACCGGAUAGGAGCUCCUGCUGCAUGGUGGGGGUUGGAAAGUUUCGGCGGUUGGGGAUGGACUCGCGGCUUAUCAGCUUGUUGGUGGGGUAGUGGCUUACCAAGGCUUUGACGGGUAGCCGGCCUGAGAGGGUGACCGGCCACAUUGGGACUGAGAUACGGCCCAGACUCCUACGGGAGGCAGCAGGGGGGAAUAUUGCACAAUGGGCGGAAGCCUGAUGCAGCAACGCCGCGUGCGGGAUGACGGCCUUCGGGUUGUAAACCGCUUUCGCCUGUGACGAAGCGUGAGUGACGGUAAUGGGUAAAGAAGCACCGGCUAACUACGUG